GCUUUCAAUCUCCUUGCUACUUUUACAAGGAUCGACAAUGUAGAUAAGUAGUAAAUGAGAAGGUUGGUCAACGUGGUCUUUAUUAAUGUUAACCUACCUCUCUUUGAUAGAAAAUUCCUCUUUCAUUCUGCUAAUUUUCUCUUAAACAACUCAAUCACUUGUUCUUACGUUUUAUAUCUUUAUAUUUAUCCCUCAAUAGAUUAGGGACAAUCUUGCCUAGUUUUCAACCU
RNAcentral lists this long non-coding RNA (230 nucleotides) under Carica papaya (papaya). RNAcentral describes it as "long non-coding RNA (CPAP_LNC013672)". The record is from RNAcentral. Lineage: Eukaryota; Viridiplantae; Streptophyta; Magnoliopsida; Brassicales; Caricaceae.